GGAGAGACAAACCGCCCGCCCGCCGGCUCCACAAACAGCCCCUCGCUGGUCCUCCAGUCUUCCAGCGAGAAGAAAGAAAGAGCGUCCCCGGAAGCCGCCGAAACUCUGGGGUAGAGCGGCACGCGCUUUUUGCUUUUCCGCGUCCUCUUCGGUGGCGGUCGUCGUCCUAGAAAGGGCGGUGGGCUCCACCUCGGCUCAGAAGGGCAGCGGGAGCCGCAGGAAGCCGUCGCGGGAAGCUCAGCAGCAUUGGUGUUGGAGCCUCCGGAUUGCGCUGACCCUGAGCUCUCAGACUCCCCAGUACAAUGACUCAAGCAGAAAUUAAGCUCUGUUCUUUGUUGCUGCAAGAGCAUUUUGGAGAGAUUGUAGAAAAAAUUGGAGUCCAUCUGAUAAGAACCGGUAGCCAGCCACUAAGAGUAAUUGCCGAUGACACAGGAACAUCACUGGAUCAGGUGAAAAAAGCCCUGUGUGUCCUCGUCCAACAUAACCUGUGACACUGGAGAGCUGAUUGUUGAGGAGCUUCUGUUGAACGGCAAACUGACAAUGUCAGCUGUUGUGAAGAAAGUGGCAGACCGGCUCACAGAGACCAUGGAGGAUGGCAAGACCAUGGACUAUGCUGAAGUAUCAAACACAUUUGUGCGACUGGUAGACACACACUUUGUACAACGCUGCCCUUCGGUACCUACCACUGAGAAUUCAGACCCUGGGCCACCACCACCUGCCCCAACACUUGUCAUUAAUGAAAAGGACAUGUACCUGGUUCCUAAACUCAGCUUGAUAGGGAAAGGUAAAAGGCGGAGAUCAUCUGAUGAAGAUGCUGCUGGGGAGCCCAAGGCCAAGAGACCAAAACAUACUACAGAUAACAAGGAGCCCAUUCCAGAUGAUGGGAUUUAUUGGCAGGCCAACCUUGACAGAUUCCACCAACACUUCCGUGACCAAGCCAUUGUGAGUGCAGUUGCUAACAGGAUGGACCAGACAAGCAGCGAGAUUGUGCGAACCAUGCUCCGAAUGAGUGAGAUUACCACUUCCUCUAGUGCUCCCUUCACCCAGCCAUUGUCUUCCAAUGAGAUCUUCAGAUCCCUACCUGUUGGCUAUAACAUCUCUAAACAAGUUCUUGAUCAGUAUCUCACUCUGCUGGCAGAUGAUCCACUAGAGUUUGUUGGAAAGUCUGGCGACAGUGGUGGAGGAA
This 1186-nucleotide small RNA is filed under the name Pongo abelii (Sumatran orangutan). RNAcentral's name for it is "processed transcript". Lineage: Eukaryota; Metazoa; Chordata; Mammalia; Primates; Hominidae. The record is from RNAcentral.